This 460-nucleotide ribosomal RNA is filed under the name uncultured bacterium. RNAcentral's name for it is "partial 16S ribosomal RNA". It matches the Rfam family "Bacterial small subunit ribosomal RNA", at positions 338 to 795 of the family's 1533-position model. The record is from RNAcentral.
CCUACGGGCGGCAGCAGUGAGGAAUAUUGGUCAAUGGGCGGAAGCCUGAACCAGCCAAGUCUCGUGAGGGAAUAAGGCCCUACGGGUCGUAAACCUCUUUUGCCGGGGAGCAAGGGCGGGGACGUGUCCCGGCCCGGAGCGUACCCGGAGAAAAAGCAUCGGCUAACUCCGUGCCUGCAGCGGCGGUAAUACGGGGGAUGCGAGCGUUAUCCGGAUUUAUUGGGUUUAAAGGGUGCGUAGGCGGGCUUUUAGGUCAGCGGGAAAAAGUCGGGGCUCAACCCCGUACGGCCGGUGAAACUGGGGGCCUUGAGUGGGCGAGAGGAAGGCGGAAUGCGGGGUGUAGCGGUGAAAUGCAUAGAUAUCACGCAGAACCCCGAUUGCGAAGGCAGCCUUCCGGCGCCCUACUGACGCUGAGGCACGAAAGUGCGGGGAUCGAACAGGAUUAGAUACCCCUGUAGUC